Molecule: long non-coding RNA, 406 nt
Organism: Perca flavescens (yellow perch)
Lineage: Eukaryota; Metazoa; Chordata; Actinopteri; Perciformes; Percidae
Exons: 2
Source: RefSeq, a predicted model, not a curated record
UUAAACAGGGAAUGAUCUGCAACCAAUCAGAUAUCUCCCUUGUUUUAGCCAAUCACAAGAACGCACCCCACGUGGGGGAUUGUUUACUUAUAAGCCAAUUGAGAAUGAGUAGGUGUCGUCAGGGCACAGCGCCCCGCCCCUUCCUCCAUUUUGAACUGCUCAUGUUCAUUGUUUAUGUUGGUUGCUGAGACGUCGGAUUUAUCGGGUGGCUGCAAUUAGAAGAAAGGACUUUACUUCCUGAGAUGAGAGUGUGUUCUCUGCAUGUUAAUUUGGGGACUAAGGAACAAACGGAGGCUGCACUAGCAUCACCAGAAGGGAGAGAUGAGGAGGAGAGGGAAAGCAAAAGAUGUUGAAUAGAUUUGCUAUAUUAGAGAUUGCCAUUCAAAAAAUAAAUGCAUCAAAUUAA